UGGAUCUACCACUUGUUUGGAAAAUUUCUCUACCAAGCAAUAAAUUACCUGCUGUGCUUUUGUUGUAGUGUAGAAGUUUUUGAGUUCUCCAAAUCUAAACAAGAUUUUGUCCCAUUUUCCCAUGAAGCUACAUUGUUGCUUAUUCACUUUAGUGGCAAGUAUUAUUGUGCCAGCUGCUUUUGUUUUGGAAGAUGUGGACUUCGACCAAAUGGUUUCACUGGAAGCAAAUCGUAGUUCUUACAAUGCAUCCUUUCCCUCAAGCUUUGAACUCUCAGCAAGUUCCCACUCGGAUGAUGAUGUCAUCAUAGCCAAAGAGGGAACUAGCGUUUCAAUUGAGUGUCUUCUCACAGCCAGUCACUAUGAAGAUGUCCAUUGGCACAAUUCAAAAGGACAGCAACUGGAUGGCAGAAGCAGAGGAUUGAGAUAAGUUUGGAUGAUGAUGAAAAUGGACAAAAUCCAGAGUGCUUACUAAUUUAUGUGCCACUAAAAUAAUCCAGAACCAUAGAAUCUUGGGGAUGAAAGAGAUUUUGAAGAUUGGGCACUCAAGUAAUGCUUAACAAGCAGUCCGCUAACCUCCCCUGGGACACCACCUCUAGUCAUUGGAAUGCAUCCCCACACUGCAGGUGGAAAGUGGUUGGUUUCUGAUAACUUCCUAAACAUCACCAAUGUAGCUUUUGAUGACCGUGGGCUCUAUACCUGUUUCGUC
Molecule: small RNA, 706 nt
Filed under: Pan troglodytes (chimpanzee)
Lineage: Eukaryota; Metazoa; Chordata; Mammalia; Primates; Hominidae
Description: processed transcript
Source: RNAcentral